GACGAACGCUGGCGGCGUGCUUAACACAUGCAAGUCGAACGGAAAGGCCCUGCUUUUGUGGGGUGCUCGAGUGGCGAACGGGUGAGUAACACGUGAGUAACCUGCCCUUGACUUUGGGAUAACUUCAGGAAACUGGGGCUAAUACCGGAUAGGAGCUCCUGCUGCAUGGUGGGGGUUGGAAAGUUUCGGCGGUUGGGGAUGGACUCGCGGCUUAUCAGCUUGUUGUUGGGGUAGUGGCUUACCAAGGCUUUGACGGGUAGCCGGCCUGAGAGGGUGACCGGCCACAUUGGGACUGAGAUACGGACCAGACUCCUACGGGAGGCAGCAGGGGGGAAUAUUGCACAAUGGGCGGAAGCCUGAUGCAGCAACGCCGCGUGCGGGAUGACGGCCUUCGGGUUGUAAGCCGCUUUCGCCUGUGACGAAGCGUGAGUGACGGUAAUGGGUAAAGAAGCACCGGCUAACUACGUG
RNAcentral lists this ribosomal RNA (468 nucleotides) under uncultured bacterium. RNAcentral describes it as "partial 16S ribosomal RNA". It matches the Rfam family "Bacterial small subunit ribosomal RNA", at positions 28 to 507 of the family's 1533-position model. The record is from RNAcentral.